GACGAACGCUGGCGGUGUGCUUAACACAUGCAAGUCGAACGGUAAGGCCCUUUCGGGGGUACACGAGUGGCGAACGGGUGAGUAACACGUGAGUAACCUGCCCUCAUCUCUGGGAUAACAGUCGGAAACGGUUGCUAAUACUGGAUAUGAGCUUGCAAGGCAUCUUGUGGGUUGGAAAGAUUUUUUUGGUUGGGGAUGGACUCGCGGCCUAUCAGCUUGUUGGUGAGGUAGUGGCUCACCAAGGCUUCGACGGGUAGCCGGCCUGAGAGGGCGACCGGCCACAUUGGGACUGAGAUACGGCCCAAACUCCUACGGGAGGCAGCAGUGGGAAUAUUGCACAAUGGACGGAAGUCUGAUGCAGCAACGCCGCGUGCGGGAUGACGGCCUUCGGGUUGUAAACCGCUUUCAAUUGUGACGAAGCUUUUUGUGACGGUAGCAGUAGAAGAAGCACCGGCUAACUACGUG
Molecule: ribosomal RNA, 465 nt
Filed under: uncultured bacterium
Lineage: Bacteria
Description: partial 16S ribosomal RNA
Rfam family: Bacterial small subunit ribosomal RNA
Source: RNAcentral